GGAUUGCCCCAGUAACGGCGAGUGAAGCGGCAACAGCUCAAAUUUGAAAUCUGGUCCCCCCGCGGGGCCCGAGUUGUAAUUUGAAGAGGAUGCUUCUGGCAAGGUGCCGUCCGAGUUCCCUGGAACGGGACGCCGCAGAGGGUGAGAGCCCCGUACGGUCGGACGCCGAGCCUCUGUGAAGCUCCUUCGACGAGUCGAGUAGUUUGGGAAUGCUGCUCAAAAUGGGAGGUAAACCCCUUCUAAAGCUAAAUACCGGCCAGAGACCGAUAGCGCACAAGUAGAGUGAUCGAAAGAUGAAAAGCACUUUGAAAAGAGAGUUAAAAAGCACGUGAAAUUGUUGAAAGGGAAGCGCUUGCGACCAGACUCGCGCCCGUCGGAUCAGCCGUCGCUCGUCGGCGGCGCACUCCGGCGCGGCUCGGGCCAGCAUCAGUUCGCCUCGGGGGGAGAAAGGCGGCGGGAAUGUGGCUCUACGGAGUGUUAUAGCCCGCCGCGCAAUACCCCCGGGCGGACUGAGGACCGCGCGUAUGCAAGGAUGCUGGCGUAAUGGUCGUCAGCGACCCGUCUUGAAACACGGACCAAGGAGUCGUCCUAAUAUGCGAGUGUACGGGUGUCAAACCCCUGCGCGUAAUGAAAGUGAACGGAGGUGAGAGCUUCGGCGCAUCAUCGACCGAUCCUGAUGUUCUCGGAUGGAUUUGAGUAAGAGCAUAUUGGGCCGGACCCGAAAGAAGGUGAACUAUGCCUGUGUAGGGUAAAGCCAGAGGAAACUCUGGUGGAGGCUCGCAGCGGUUCUGACGUGCAAAUCGAUCGUCAAACAUGGGCAUGGGGGCGAAA
RNAcentral lists this ribosomal RNA (831 nucleotides) under Microascus levis. Its description in RNAcentral is "partial large subunit ribosomal RNA". It matches the Rfam family "Eukaryotic large subunit ribosomal RNA", at positions 72 to 928 of the family's 3401-position model. The record is from RNAcentral. Lineage: Eukaryota; Fungi; Ascomycota; Sordariomycetes; Microascales; Microascaceae.